UUGCUUCAGCAGCACAUAUUCUAAAACUGGAACAAUACAGAGCAGAUUAUCACGGCUUCUGCACAAGGAUGACACAAAAUUUUGUGAAACAUUCAAUAUUUUG
This 103-nucleotide small nuclear RNA is filed under the name Moschus moschiferus (Siberian musk deer). Lineage: Eukaryota; Metazoa; Chordata; Mammalia; Artiodactyla; Moschidae. The record is from RNAcentral.